CCUACGGGAGGCUGCAGUGGGGAAUAUUGCGCAAUGGGCGAAAGCCUGACGCAGCGACGCCGCGUGGGUGAUGAAGGCCUUCGGGUUGUAAAGCCCUGUCGGGUGGAACGAACGAUCUGGCGGCGAAUAACCGCCGGGUGUGACGGUACCACCGAAGGAAGCCCCGGCUAACUACGUGCCAGCAGCCGCGGUAAGACGUAGGGGGCGACUGUUGUUCGGACUUGCUGAGGGGAAAACGCACGUAGGUUGUGAAAUCCCUCGGCUUAACCGAGGUGCCGCAUCCGAUACUGUCUGGCUCGAGUCUAGGAGAGGAAAGAGGAAUUCCCAGUGUAGCGGUGAAAGGCGUAGAUAUUGGGAGGAACACCGGUGGCGAAGGCGGCUUUCCGGACUAGUACUGACGCUGAGGCGCGAAAGCUAGGGGAGCGAACGGGAUUAGAUACCCUAGUAGUC
Molecule: ribosomal RNA, 450 nt
Filed under: uncultured bacterium
Lineage: Bacteria
Description: partial 16S ribosomal RNA
Rfam family: Bacterial small subunit ribosomal RNA
Source: RNAcentral